GAGUAGUUUGAGGCUUUCGUAGAGGUUGUGGGUAUUUCCAUGAGUAGUUUGAGGCUUUCGUAGAGGUUGUGGGUAUUUCCAUGAGUAGUUUGAGGCUUUCGUAGAGGUUGUGGGUAUUUCCAUGAGUAGUUUGAGGCUUUCGUAGAGGUUGUGGGUAUUUCCAUGAGUAGUUUGAGGCUUUCGUAGAGGUUGUGGGUAUUUCCAUGAGUAGUUUGAGGCUUUCGUAGAGGUUGUGGGUAUUUCCAUGAGUAGUUUGAGGCUUUCGUAGAGGUUGUGGGUAUUUCCAUGAGUAGUUUGAGGCUUUUGUAGAGGUUGUGAGUAUUUCCAUGAGUAGUUUGAGGCUUUCGUAGAGGUUGUGGGUAUAUCCAUGAGUAG
Molecule: long non-coding RNA, 375 nt
Organism: Eriocheir sinensis (Chinese mitten crab)
Lineage: Eukaryota; Metazoa; Arthropoda; Malacostraca; Decapoda; Varunidae
Exons: 3
Source: RefSeq, a predicted model, not a curated record